CAGUCGCCGCGGUAAUACGGAGGGAGCUAGCGUUGUUCGGAAUUACUGGGCGUAAAGCGCACGUAGGCGGUUAUUCAAGUCAGAGGUGAAAGCCCGGGGCUCAACCCCGGAACUGCCUUUGAAACUAGAUGACUAGAAUCUUGGAGAGGUCAGUGGAAUUCCGAGUGUAGAGGUGAAAUUCGUAGAUAUUCGGAAGAACACCAGUGGCGAAGGCGACUGACUGGACAAGUAUUGACGCUGAGGUGCGAAAGCGUGGGGAGCAAACAGGAUUAGAUACCCCGGUAGUCCCUGUCUCUUAUAC
This 301-nucleotide ribosomal RNA is filed under the name uncultured bacterium. RNAcentral's name for it is "partial 16S ribosomal RNA". It matches the Rfam family "Bacterial small subunit ribosomal RNA", at positions 509 to 807 of the family's 1533-position model. The record is from RNAcentral.